UCCUGGGGUGGCCCAAAGUUGAUGGGGGAGGGAGGAUGGGGGAGGAGGAGGAGGUGGGGGAGGUUCUGAUGGGGCAAAUUUGGAGUUUUUGGGGGUUUUUAGGGGGAUUUUGGGGUGCCAGAGGGUUCUGGGACACCCCAAAAAACCUCGGGGGGCCCCACAAAGAUUUACAGGGGGGUUGGGAGGUCUUGGGGUGCCCCAGAGUUGAUGGGGGUGGGAGGAUGGGGGGGAUAAAGAGGAGGUGGGGGAGUCUGGGAGGGGCAAAAUCAGAAUUUUAGGGAGCCAAAAAGUUUUGGGAGGGUUUGGGGUGCCCCAAAUUUCACCAUGGGGGGAUUUUGGGGGUCCCCUGGAUCGCUGGAGGGCUCUGCACGCCUGAGACCCCCAAAAUCCUCCCCAAAAUACCCGGGGAGCCCCCCAAAAUCCGCGGGGAACCCCCAAAAUCCGCGGGGAACCCGAGGACGUGGAGGGGCCCGGGUGGGUUUGGGGGGCUCGGUGGAAUUAAAGGUUUUUGUUCCUUGGUUGGUGGCGCCUUUUUGGGGGAUUUUGGGGGGGUUUUUGGGGGUCUCUGAAGUGGAGGGGUCCCCAAGUUUUGCCUCGUGGGGUUUUGGGGGGUCCUGGAAGUUCAGGGAAGGGUCAGGGGGUCCCCAAGUUUUCUCCAUUGGGGUCCCCAGGAGGGGUCGGGGGUCCCCAGAUUUUGUCACUCCGGGUUUGUUUUUGGGGAGGGGUCUCCAAGCUUUAUCACCUCCCCCCUCCCCCACCUAUUUUUUGGGGGGGGUCCCCAGGAUUUCCCACCCCCCCAAACACGAGGCCACACAAAAAGGGGUGAAAUGAGUAAAAACGAGGUUUCCUUGUUUUUUUUUUUCCUUAAUUCCCAAAUUCCUCCCCCCCCUCCCCCGACGGACACACACAGAGGUGGGGGAGGGGAACACCCCAGAAUUUGGGGGUUGGUUUUUUUUUUUUGGGGAGGGGUCCCAGGGCUGGUUUAGGACCCCCCCAAACCAAGCCCGGGCUGAGAAGAGGAAGCGACAAAAGUGUAAAAAAACCCUAAAAAAAUCCCUAAAUAACCCCAAA
Molecule: long non-coding RNA, 1071 nt
Filed under: Parus major (Great Tit)
Lineage: Eukaryota; Metazoa; Chordata; Aves; Passeriformes; Paridae
Description: lncRNA (ENSPMJG00000004744.1)
Source: RNAcentral